This 73-nucleotide transfer RNA is filed under the name Coccocrater sp. MNHN-IM-2013-41044. RNAcentral describes it as "tRNA-Cys". Lineage: Eukaryota; Metazoa; Mollusca; Gastropoda; Cocculinidae. The record is from RNAcentral.
GGGUUGGUAGGAAAAAUGUUUUAUUCUAUUAAAUUGCAAAUUUAAUGUUGUGAACUUACCUUCACCCAGCCCU